RNAcentral lists this ribosomal RNA (459 nucleotides) under uncultured bacterium. Its description in RNAcentral is "partial 16S ribosomal RNA". It matches the Rfam family "Bacterial small subunit ribosomal RNA", at positions 338 to 795 of the family's 1533-position model. The record is from RNAcentral.
CCUACGGGCGGCAGCAGUGAGGAAUAUUGGUCAAUGGUCGGGAGACUGAACCAGCCAAGCCGCGUGAGGGAUGAAGGUACAGAGUAUCGUAAACCUCUUUUGUCAGGGAACAAAUGCGGGGACGUGUCCCCGGAUGAGUGUACCUGAAGAAAAAGCAUCGGCUAACUCCGGGCCAGCAGCCGCGGUAAUACGGGGGAUGCGAGGGUUAUCCGGAUUUAUGGGGUUUAAAGGGUGCGCAGGCGGUCUGUUAAGUCAGCGGUCAAAGACCGGGGCUCAACCCCGGCCCGCCGUUGAAACUGGCAGUCUCGAGUUGGCGAGAAGUAUGCGGAAUGCGCGGUGUAGCGGUGAAAUGCAUAGAUAUCGCGCAGAACUCCGAUUGCGAAGGCAGCAUGCCGGCUCCACACUGACGCUGAGGCACGAAAGCGUGGGUAUCGAACAGGAUUAGAUACCCUUGUAGUC